UAUUAAAAAAUUCAUCAAUAUCUAUUGUUAAAAACUGACGUGGAUGACGAAAUAACCAAAUACUUCAUAUGUACCUCAUACUGAUGUAUAGAGAUUAAUUUUUAACAGUAGAAAUAAACAAAAUUAUUAGCA
Non-coding RNA from Gossypium raimondii (Peruvian cotton), 132 nucleotides. The record is from Rfam. NCBI's taxonomy places the organism in Eukaryota, Viridiplantae, Streptophyta, Magnoliopsida, Malvales, Malvaceae.